CAGAAAUGAAGUAAAGGCAUUUGGAAGGAGGAGUGAAGCAGAAUUGUUCCAAUCAUUGGGGAUUCAGCAGUGAACAAAACAGACACAAUUCCUUGGUUUCAAGAUACCUGCAUUCUGAUAAAACGUGUGAGACGAUAAUAACCAAGGUUGUGUCACACCUUUUCCUGAACUUUGGCUCAAUUGAAGAAGGAAACUUUCAGGGGAAUUCCAAUAGUAAACAACAGAACCAGCAGUUUUACAAUAAACUGCAGAGCUCCAUUUCAAAACACAAAAAUAGAGCGUCUCUGCAGUGAUGUACUGCCUUAAGGAAGGGUUUGGAUAUUCUGGAACCAGCUGCCCUCAAGUCUUCAUGUAGACUUACAACAUUUUAAGAGUCAGUGCAUUAUUGAAAUUAUUACGUUGCUUUAUUUGGUAUUUUCCAUUUCUUCUCUUAUUAAAUACAUUUACUUUCAUGGUAUAUUAUACUGUGUAACUUCUUAGUUCUAAAUACCUACAGCAACAACAUCUUUGAGAUUCACUACUUCUUCCUUCUUAAACUAUUUCAGUUUUUUUUCUGCUUUUAGCAACUUAGACAUAAAAUUUAAACAGACACCUUGUUGAAUAAGAAACCAUUUCUUGUGUUUAUGAGUGGUUCCUUUCCCCUGUUCCUUAUCCUUUUUCUUUCAUUCUUAUCCUUUACUUCAGCCUCCACUCUUACUCUGAAUGAACACUAAUUUAUUUUGGAGUUGUCAUAUGUAAUUAAUUGCUUUGCAACCAAUUGCAUCACUGAAUAGCUACCGCAUUUGAUAUCACAAUAGUCCAACACUGUGAUAUAAUCUAGAUAAUACUGUGAAAUUGAGAAUAUAGGUCAAUAUGUUGGAAAAAAUUGAAGAAUCAGUACUAGAAAAAAAUUAAUUUUCACAUGCUCUAAUCACGUCAUUUUUAUUUUCUUUUGUCAAAUUGCCUCUUUCUCAUUCCCUUCUCCACAUAUUGCUUCAAUCAUGUUUUUUUUUUUUUUUUAACGGUUCUUCUUUCACAUAGUUCUUUCUCCACUCACAUAAAUGCUUAGCCCAGCAUUGGAAUUCCUCCCCUGUGGGCCUUUCCUUUCAUCAAGUUCCAUCUUCAUUCUUCUCGAGAUGGAUUACAAAAGGAGCUGAUUUAAAAUUCACUGUCUGGUCAUGAAUAGACACGAUAAAGAGAGAUGUUAAUGUAAAAUUAUAUUACAAAAUGUUUGUUUAAAAAACUCAUCAUCUUGCUCCCUUGGGGUUUUCUCUACUAAAUUCACUUUGGCGAAUAAUGACAUUCAUAAAAAAUCUACCCAAGGGCCUUCACGAAACAAAAAGUGCCAAAAUGCAGCAUUUCAUGUCACAAAAAUAGCUCAGAAGUUAACAGGUAAGGCCACUGCUUUUUGUUGAAUUUAGUUGUUUGGUUUUCCAGUAUUUCCCUCGCAUUCUUUGUGAGUACAUACAUACACAUAAGCAUGCAAAUGCACAAAGCACACAUACAGAUUAGAAUUGGGUUUAUUUUAAUUUCCUGAUUGUUUUUGUUCAUCUAAGUGCUAUUUAAAAUAAGUGAGGUUAAUGGCAGUUCCCUCUCCUCUCAUUCUGUACUCUUCCCCAGUCUUUAUUUCCGGUGUGUUAGGAACUUGUUGUUCUUCCCAGAUAGUUCAGUUGCAAUUGGGAGUUGCAAUUUGAGUUGGUAGGUUCUCUCUGGGGCGCUGAGUAAAAGACAACUGUUUGCUAUAAUGGCCUACACAGCUGCAAGAAAAUCACUGUUUAUUGCCUUUAUAAAAAAUAAAAUUUGCUGCUUUCGCCUUAGCUUCUUUUGAACCUUCUCAAGAAAAUCAUUCUGAAGGGCAGAAUAGCAGACUUCUUAAGGGCUGGGAUUCUGGAGUUGGAUUUGGGGUUAAAUCCUAACUCUACCAUUUACUGUGUGGUAUUGAGUAAGUUACUUAACCUUUCUAAGACUCAGUUUUCUCAUAUAUCAAAUAGGUAUUUAUGAAGACAAAAUAAACUCAUGUAUGAAAUAACUCUUAUCACAGAAAAAAACUUCAGUAAAAUAUAAUUCUUAAUAUUGUUGUCUUAAUAAUGCUAAUUUGUAUUUGUAAGCCAAUUUAUUAUUUUUAAGUAAUUUUAAAUUUU
RNAcentral lists this long non-coding RNA (2120 nucleotides) under Homo sapiens (human). Its description in RNAcentral is "HSALNT0374138". Lineage: Eukaryota; Metazoa; Chordata; Mammalia; Primates; Hominidae. The record is from RNAcentral.